AUUGAACGCUGGCGGCAUGCCUUACACAUGCAAGCCGAACGGCAGCACGGGUGCUUGCACCUGGUGGCGAGUGGCGAACGGGUGAGUAAUACAUCGGAACGUACCUUAUCGUGGGGGAUAACGCAGCGAAAGCUGUGCUAAUACCGCAUACGCCCUGAGGGGGAAAGCGGGGGAUCGCAAGACCUCGCGCGAUUAGAGCGGCCGAUGCCUGAUUAGCUUGUUGGUGGGGUAAAAGCCCACCAAGGCGACGAUCAGUAGCUGGUCUGAGAGGAGGAUCAGCCACACUGGGACUGAGACACGGCCCAGACUCCUACGGGAGGCAGCAGUGGGGAAUUUUGGACAAUGGGGGCAACCCUGAUCCAGCAAUGCCGCAUGAGUGAAGAAGGCCUUCGGGUUGUAAAGCUCUUUUGUCAGGGAAGAAACACCGGCUCUAACACAGUCCGGGAAUGACGGUACCUGAAGAAUAAGCACCGGCUAACUACGUGCCAGCCGCCGCCGUAA
RNAcentral lists this ribosomal RNA (501 nucleotides) under uncultured bacterium. RNAcentral's name for it is "partial 16S ribosomal RNA". It matches the Rfam family "Bacterial small subunit ribosomal RNA", at positions 29 to 523 of the family's 1533-position model. The record is from RNAcentral.